Long non-coding RNA from Tribolium castaneum (red flour beetle), 1481 nucleotides. RefSeq lists it as uncharacterized. Lineage: Eukaryota; Metazoa; Arthropoda; Insecta; Coleoptera; Tenebrionidae. The transcript has 2 exons. The record is from RefSeq and is a predicted model, not a curated record.
UUGGUUUUCACCCAUGGGUAAAAUUGACAGAAUUUUUUAUCCAUUGGGAUUGGGACCAAUCAAAAUUGAAAAUAUUGGAAUUUUAUCUUUUCCACCACUUUUAUGUUGGCAAUUGUGUGCCGUAACCGCAGCAAUAUAACCAAACAAGCCAAAUCAGCUGACAACAAAAACAAACAGCUAAUUAUUUAGUCGGAACUAGUAGUGAAAUCUGUGAUUGUUCAAGCAGUUUUUUGUGACAGAAAGUUAUUUAAAAUGUUGGAAGAAGAGAAUGAAAUGACCUGCACGCCACCUGACAUUCGCAAUAUCGCAACGAGUGCAAUAGAAAAUCUUCUACCACAAAAAUCGCGGCACAAAUAUGAGUGUGUUUAUGAAAGGUUUUUAAAAUGGCGCGCAGAAAAAAAUACAACUUCUUUUUCUGAAAAUAUUAUAUUAAGUUAUUUUGUGAUGCUUGCAGAAAAGUAUUCAUCUUCUUCUCUUUGGAGUUACUACUCAAUGCUUAAAAGUACGUUAGUCAUUCGUCACGAUAUACAUAUUGAGAACUAUAAAAAACUUCAAGCAUUUUUGAAGCGCAAAUCUGAGACAUACAAACCUAAAAAAUCGAAAACUUUAUCUUCUGAAAGUAUAAAGGAGUUUAUCGAGAAAGCACCAGAUGAAAAAUAUCUUGUAACGAAGGUGGCUGUAAUAAUGGGUAUAAUGGGUGCCUGCAGAUCUCAAGAAUUGCAUGCAAUGAAACUAGAGCACAUCGAAGAUUUAGAUCGAGCUUUGCUUGUCAAAAUUCCCGAUACCAAAACAAAAGUUUCUAGGAGUUUUACAGUAACGGGAGAAUAUUACUAUAUUUGCAAAAAAUAUAUGAAUCUUCGUCCAACCAAUAUACAAUGUUCAUCUUUUUUCUUGAAUUUUCAAAAUAAUAAGUGUACAUCGCAAAAAAUAGGUAUUAACAAGCUAGCUGCCAUGCCGAAGAGUGUUGCUACUUUUUUGAAUCUUCAAAAUCCUCAGUUAUAUACAGGUCAUUGCCUACGGAGAUCAUCUGCCACACUUUUGGUUGAUGGAGGUGCUGAUAUUACCACCCUCAAGCGACAUGGGGCAUGGCGGUCAACAAGCGUGGCUGAGGGGUACAUAGAUAACAACUUAAACAAUAAACUUCAAAUAGAUAAUACAAUUUUAAGAGAAGUUAACAGACCGUGUACAAGCACAUCUGUAAGUAAUGUUCAAUGUACAACUACAAAAGUUGACAGUACCACAGCUGUAACCAAGAAUAAUUGCGAAAUUAAUCUUGGCAAGGAUCCUCCUUUUACUUUCAAUAAUUGUUCUAACUUUACCAUUAACAUUUAUAAUAAAAAUGACAAUGUAACUAACUAAUAUAUUCAUAUCCAAAAGUAUUAAAAUUAACCAACUAAAAAUGUAUUUUUCUUUUUGGUUAUUUAAUCGUAGAUAAAAUUAUAGUUUAAUGUUCAAAAGAAUUAAAAUUGAUCAACUAAGAA